Lathyrus oleraceus (garden pea) is the source of this 1560-nucleotide long non-coding RNA. RefSeq lists it as uncharacterized. NCBI's taxonomy places the organism in Eukaryota, Viridiplantae, Streptophyta, Magnoliopsida, Fabales, Fabaceae. The record is from RefSeq and is a predicted model, not a curated record. The transcript is spliced from 3 exons.
AAACUAUAUUCUAAGUCCUAAUUAACUAAAGUGAAAUUAGGCCUAGCACAGUGAACGAUUGUUUGGACCUAAAUCCCAAAUCAGACUCAGUUAUACCCGCCGAAACCGGUUCAUCCAUGGCGAAACGGAUCUCCGAACCGUAAUACAAUACGAAGUCCAUCGCAACUUCCAUCUUCGCUUCCAAUCUGUCUGGUGUGCGUGCGAAGCGAACAAUAGGAAAACGAAGAACGAAGCCUCCAUGAUCACCGCCACUCCAAUCAUCGGCAUUUUACAUCCACGUUCCAUUCGUCCUUAUGCAUGCAGAAUCCAAAGGAGGCGGGAUCGGAACCACGUCGCGAGUGAACCGACUUUUGUACGCAGAAACAUACAAGUGGAAGCAAGAAAACUAACCAGAUCGAAAUUACACCGUGAAUAGGGACGAUGCUUGAACGCGAUUGCGGCGAUGACGAAACUUCGAAUCACAGCUCUUCACUACUCCUUGUGCAAACUCACCGUUACCCGCUCAGAAGAACACGCCGCUAUUUGUUGCUAUCCUUGGUUGCGAAGGAUGAACCGUAGUUAGUAUGGUGACGACGAGAGUUCGAGUCGCCGGAUCGACGGCAACGCGGUGGUGAAGCGUCGUCGCGAUGAAGAUCAAGGCAUCGAUGAAGAAAAGAUUGGAGUCGAUGAUCAAAGGAGAGAGAGGACUAUCGAAUUCCCAAAGAAUUGUUGCAGGAUCCUCUGUGGUUCGGUUGUGAUGAUGAUAGUUAUGCCGAAUGGAAGAGUGAAGAUUUGGUUGAAGAAGAAGAAUCUCGGUUGGGAAGAGGAAGUUGAAGUGGUGGUUCUUGAUGUUGAAGAUUGGAGAAGAAAGUGAAGGUUACGGUUACGGUGAUAGAAGGUGAAGACUAUGGAGUUUGGUGAAGGAAUUGAAGAGAGGAAACCGAAUUUGAGAGAGGGAAGGAGAAUUUAUAGAGAUGAGUUUUUUUGGUUAUAGUUUGUUAGUUAGUUGUGAAUGAAAAAUUCUGUUAUUUCAUUGUUGCAGGCUUUGCGGUUGGUGUCAAUGCAUUACCGUUGGAUUUGGCUUAUGUAUUCACUGGAGCUUUGCUUAUUCACCUGCGUUUUGCACCUUUUGCAGCUGGAUCACAAGUCGUGGCUUACGCAUUGGCUUGCGUUUGUUGCCGCGGUUUUAGCUUUGGCUUUGAGCUGCGUUUUUGAAUGAGCUAUUGUGAACGGCUUUGUGCUCUGCAGGUUGGAGCUUGGAAGUAGCUUUAGAAGCUUGGCUUGAAGCUUUGCACCGCUUGGUGAAGCUUGCUGCUUGUGUUUGGUUUUGGCUCAAUAGCUUUUUGGUGCAUUUUAUGCAGAAUUUCCACAUGCCUAUUAUGCAGAAUUUUUUGAUGUGUUGCUGAAUUUUUAAUGCAGAUUUUUUAUGAUGCAGAAUUUUGUUUUAAAUUAUGCAGAAUUUUAUAAUGCAGAUGCAGAAUUUUUAUGAUGCAAUGCAGAAUUUGGUUUAUGCAAUGCAGAAUUUUUGUUAUAUUGUAAAUGCAGAAUUUUUUUUAUGAAUGCAGAAUUUGGUUUAUGCAA